Molecule: long non-coding RNA, 792 nt
Organism: Hyla sarda
Lineage: Eukaryota; Metazoa; Chordata; Amphibia; Anura; Hylidae
Exons: 3
Source: RefSeq, a predicted model, not a curated record
AGGCGUGGCUACAGCUCAUGGGCGUGGCCUAAUCAUGGAUGGGGGGACUAUGUUAUCUGGUCACGUGCACGUCGGUAGAUGUUGCAGCUUGUAGUGUGAUUAGGACGUCCACAGCUGCCUUUUUUAGGAGGGCCCUCUUUUGGCUUUGGUCCCGAAAUUUUAUUAAAAACCACUAUGGCAGCCUACACCCAGCCAGGGCUGGAUUGAGAGCAUCAUGGAGGAGAUUUAUCAAAAUCUAUCCAGAGGAAAAGUUGCUGAGUUGCCCAAAGCAACCAAUCAGAUCGCUUCUUUCAUUUUUAACAAGGCCUCUGUAAAAUUAAAGAAGCAAUAUGAUUGGUUGCUAUGGGCAACUUUUCCUCUGGACAGGUUUUGAUAAAUCUCUCCUCAUGGGCCUGGUGCUGAGAAUUUUGAUGGGCCUAUAAGUGUCCGUGACGCCAACAGCUGGGUUGUUCGCUAACUAGGAUUUGGAUCUGCUAACAAAUUAAGGAGCCUAUGAUGUCCGGGUAUCAGACUCUGCAGAGAAGAUGGAGCUGGAAGACGCCCUGGUAUCUGAACCAGAUAAAGAAGGAAAGGAAAGACAACAGGGAAGAUGUCACUCAGGUUGGCCAGCCAUCCUUAUCCUGCGAUAUUAUUCAUCUGUAUACUCUUAUUGUAUUUUUUAGAUCCUGCCAUGCAUCCUGCCUACUGCCAUUUUUUAAAAUGUAUUAACCUGUGGUAUUUUAUUUUUUGCCUCCCAUAGGCACCUAUCACUUUACUGUAUAAUGUGCUGCCAAUAUGCUAGCACAUAUGCAC